GACGAACGCUGGCGGCGUGCUUAACACAUGCAAGUCGAACGGAAAGGCCCUGCUUUUGUGGGGUGCUCGAGUGGCGAACGGGUGAGUAACACGUGAGUAACCUGCCCUUGACUUUGGGAUAACUUCAGGAAACUGGGGCUAAUACCGGAUAGGAGCUCCUGCUGCAUGGUGGGGGUUGGAAAGUUUCGGCGGUUGGGGAUGGACUCGCGGCUUAUCAGCUUGUUGGGGGGGUAGUGGCUUACCAAGGGUUUGACGGGUAGCCGGCCUGAGAGGGUGACCAGGCACCUGGGGACUAAGGGACGGCGCAGAAGCCAACGGGAGGCAGCAGGGGGGAAUAUUGCACAACGGGCGGGAGUGUGAUACAGAGGCGCCGCGUGCGGGAAGACGGGCUAUGAGUGAUAAACAGAUGUGUACGGUGACGAAGCGUGAGUGACGGUAAUGGAUAAGAAAGCACCGGCUAACUACGUG
Molecule: ribosomal RNA, 468 nt
Filed under: uncultured bacterium
Lineage: Bacteria
Description: partial 16S ribosomal RNA
Rfam family: Bacterial small subunit ribosomal RNA
Source: RNAcentral